This 31-nucleotide non-coding RNA is filed under the name Homo sapiens (human). Lineage: Eukaryota; Metazoa; Chordata; Mammalia; Primates; Hominidae. The record is from RNAcentral.
UCUGUCAGUGUCCUCAAUAGUCCCAAACUGU